AGGACGAACGCUGGCGGCGUGCUUAACACAUGCAAGUCGAGCGGUAAGGCCUCUUCGGGGGUACACGAGCGGCGAACGGGUGAGUAACACGUGAGUAAUCUGCCCUUCACUUCGGGAUAAGCUUCGGAAACGGGGUCUAAUACCGGAUACGACACUUUCAGGCAUCUGAUGAGUGUGGAAAGUUUUUUCGGUGGGGGAUGUGCUCGCGGCCUAUCAGCUUGUUGGUGGGGUAAUGGCCUACCAAGGCUUCGACGGGUAGCCGGCCUGAGAGGGUGACCGGCCACACUGGGACUGAGACACGGCCCAGACUCCUACGGGAGGCANCANUGGGGAAUAUUGGACA
This 343-nucleotide ribosomal RNA is filed under the name uncultured Nocardioides sp. Its description in RNAcentral is "bacterial SSU rRNA". It matches the Rfam family "Bacterial small subunit ribosomal RNA", at positions 26 to 370 of the family's 1533-position model. The record is from RNAcentral. Lineage: Bacteria; Bacillati; Actinomycetota; Actinomycetes; Propionibacteriales; Nocardioidaceae.